CCUACGGGAGGCAGCAGUGGGGAAUAUUGGGCAAUGGGCGCAAGCCUGACCCAGCAAUGCCGCGUGCAGGAAGACGGCUCUCGGGUUGUUAACUUCCUUGACAGGGGAAGUGCAGAAGACGGUACCCUGCAAACAAGCCAUGGCUAACUACGUGCCAGCAGCCGCGGUAAUACGGAGGUGGCAAGCGUUGUCCGGAUUUACUGGGUGUAAAGGGCGUGUAGCCGGGAAGGCAAGUCAGAUGUGAAAUCUGGGGGCUCAACCUCCAAAUUGCAUGUGAAACUGUUGUUCUUGAGUACUGGAGAGGCAGACGGAAUGCAUGGUGUAGCGGUGAAAUGCGUAGAGAUAA
RNAcentral lists this ribosomal RNA (346 nucleotides) under uncultured bacterium. Its description in RNAcentral is "partial 16S ribosomal RNA". It matches the Rfam family "Bacterial small subunit ribosomal RNA", at positions 338 to 699 of the family's 1533-position model. The record is from RNAcentral.